This 223-nucleotide unclassified non-coding RNA is filed under the name Hevea brasiliensis (rubber tree). Lineage: Eukaryota; Viridiplantae; Streptophyta; Magnoliopsida; Malpighiales; Euphorbiaceae. The record is from RNAcentral.
CGCAUUAUCACCGGAGAAACUAAAAAACUAGUAAAAAGAUCACCUUGACCAACUAUAUUUUGUUCAAAUUGAUGACCGACAACAUAAGUGGCCAUAUAUUGUUUAAGCUGAUUUUAUUAAAACGUGUUGCAAAUUAGGGUCAUGAAUCUGGAACAACAUAUCCCAGCUGGAGAGCAGUUCCGAUAGUAGAGUGACAGCAGGGUCAAAUUUUCCUUAAGGUGAG